RNAcentral lists this long non-coding RNA (1407 nucleotides) under Anser cygnoides (Swan goose). RNAcentral describes it as "lncRNA (ENSACDG00005001387.1)". Lineage: Eukaryota; Metazoa; Chordata; Aves; Anseriformes; Anatidae. The record is from RNAcentral.
ACUUUCUACUUAUCUUAACGAGGUGCCGCCUUAUUCCUGCCAAAGGCCAUGAAAAAGGAUGUUGAAAUAUCAUCCCUCAUAAGCUCCAGGCAGUGAAACUGAAAUGGAGUAAGGGUUUUAGGAAAGCCAUUUUUGGUGACUAUUAUUAGAUCUAUCUCCAUUUAAAUGACUUGUGUGUUGGAAAAUUAUUAUUACUACACUAAAUGUGUCGUGUUCUUUCCACAAACCACAUAAUAUAGUACAAUAUAAUUAAAUAGUUUAAAUCUACCUAGUUUAAUUGUCCCUGCUUGUAUUGCAUAACUGCUGGUGUGUAGUCAAUAGGAUAUGCUCACUUAACAAAGGCAAAUUGUUUCACUCAAAAUUCUUCUUGCCUUAUCAGCCUGAAUGACAUUAUCACCCUGAACUACUCCUCUAGACAGUGUUAUAACCUAUAUUUAAAAGGGUAAUAUUGAAGACUAAAACAAUAAACACUUCUUUUUAAUUGUCUUUUAAUCCUUAAUAACAUAAUUAAAAAUAAAAAUUUCUUUCAAUUUGUCACUUAGGCUAAUUUUAAUGAAGAAACAGAAGAGAAAAGAUCUGGUGGCCUGGGUGUGAUAUGUGCUGACAGCAGUUUCUCAUGCAGAUUUAUGGAGAUCGGUAUUGCCUUAUGGAUAUUUAAAGGAUCAUAAUUUGGACUGGUAUAUCAGCUAUCUUAUGUGCUCAAAAGACUUCCAUUAAUGAUGUUUAAAAAUUACACGUUCUCAUGUGAUUUAAGACUAAGGUGAAAGUGAAUAAGGUGAAUAAGACAGGAUACAAUUUAUAUUGAAGUCCUCCCACUUGAAAGGACAUGUUUCCUACGGCACUGGAAAAAAAAAAAAAAAAAAAAAAGAUGAUCUCCAUUGUAUAAUCUGGUCAAGUGGAUUUGCUCACUUUCGUAAAUGCCUGUCAGCUUCUAGACCACAUUGCAACAGAAAUUCAGUUUCACUUUCUCAGGGUCGCUCCUGGCAUUUUCACAGGGUGUUUUUUGUAGCACUAAGGAAGGUUAUAAUCAGUCUUUUCCAAGGAAAAGUGAGUUCAAGAAAUGAUGAGAGCAAAUUUUGAGCUUCUGUUCCUGGAGUUUAGUCCUGUUUUCCUGAAGAUGAAACAAAACAAAAAUACCUAAGAAAUACAGUAGAGGUUAAAGGAAAAGUGGUGUGUCUCUUUCUGGUGUACAGUCUCAGUGACAUCUCUGCUGGAUAAUGAAAUAUUGGAUAUUUUGUAUAUUCUUAUGCAUUUUAGAGAACUAAUGAAGGGCAUUAUUUUCAUUAAUCUUUAACUGUGGACCAGAAAACCAAGAUUUACUUGGUAACCAAGAUAUAUUCCUAUCUUCUGACAGAGUACUUUCUCUCAUUUCCUUUUGGUGGCUUGUUCAUUUUUCUCAGCUUUAAG